AGAGAGAGACAUGCGCGCAUAUCAAUAAGCGGAGGAAAAGAAACUAACAAGGAUUCCCUUAGUAACGGCGAGUGAAGCGGGAAGAGCUCAAAUUUGAAAUCUUCAAGGUUUUACCUUGAUCGAAUUGUAGUUUAAAGAAGUGUUUUCUGCUGAAGUUUUGGUAAAAGUUCUUUGGAAUAGGACAUCAUAGAGGGUGAGAAUCCCGUAUUUGACCAUUAUUUUCAGCUUUGUGAUACACUUUCAAAGAGUCGGAUUGUUUGGGAAUGCAGUCCAAAAUGGGUGGUAAAUUUCAUCUAAAGCUAAAUAUUGGCGAGAGACCGAUAGCGAACAAGUACCGUGAGGGAAAGAUGAAAAGAACUUUGAAAAGAGAGUUAAACAGUACGUGAAAUUGUCAAAAGGGAAGCGUUUGACACCAGUGUUGUUUUCUCGAAAAUCAAUUAAAAAUGGCUCGAUUUUGUAUUGUUGAGACCUUAAAAGCUCACUGUACAUUUUUCGUGUCUUUUUUAAUGCACUUUUCGUUUAACAAGUCGACAUCAGUUUCUUUUGUUGUAAAAGGGUCAUUGGAAGGUGGCUUUCUUUUCGGAGAAAGUGUUUAUAGCCUUUGGCCUCUGCAAUCGAAGAGACUGAGGUCUGCAGCGUAGACUCUUCGGGGUUAGAUACAUUUGUGCUAAGUUAUAGCUUUUUAUAGACAACUUGUUGACUAUAAUUAGUCUUGUAGCUUACUCGCUUAUGCUAUUUUACCUACGCUUAGGAUGUUGAGUCGUAGAGCACGCAG
This 775-nucleotide ribosomal RNA is filed under the name uncultured Neocallimastigales. RNAcentral's name for it is "partial large subunit ribosomal RNA". It matches the Rfam family "Eukaryotic large subunit ribosomal RNA", at positions 23 to 634 of the family's 3401-position model. Lineage: Eukaryota; Fungi; Neocallimastigomycota; Neocallimastigomycetes; Neocallimastigales. The record is from RNAcentral.